AUUGAACUGGUCUUUAAGUUUUAGACUAUUCUAAGCUCUAGAGUCAUCCUCUUGUUGGCUUGAUAAUUUAUCCUCUUCUAAUUUACUAACCGCUAUAGUUGAUUGGCCCAAUUAUUUAAUUAAUUGGUUAGUAGUUUGCAUAAAAUUAUUGAGGAUAUUUUUAAUGUUUGAGGUUGAUUAUGCUAAGAUAUCUAGACUCUUUUCUAAUGUGUUGACUCCUUCCUCAAGAUCUAAAUCUGGUUGAUCAUUCAGUGUUUGGUUGGGCCAUAGAUAGGGUUGAUAAAAAUUAUGGGC
RNAcentral lists this long non-coding RNA (294 nucleotides) under Elaeis guineensis (African oil palm). RNAcentral describes it as "long non-coding RNA (EGUI_LNC076119)". Lineage: Eukaryota; Viridiplantae; Streptophyta; Magnoliopsida; Arecales; Arecaceae. The record is from RNAcentral.